RNAcentral lists this non-coding RNA (72 nucleotides) under Photobacterium damselae. The record is from RNAcentral. Lineage: Bacteria; Pseudomonadati; Pseudomonadota; Gammaproteobacteria; Vibrionales; Vibrionaceae.
AAGCGAAACAGGCAAGGUUCGUCCUUGUCUGUCUAUCCAGCGUGGUGGCUGGAUACUGAUGAGCAGCCAAAA